UACAGAGGUCCCAAGCGUUGUUCGGAUUCACUGGGCGUAAAGGGUGCGUAGGCGGUCGGGUAAGUCUGAUGUGAAAUCUCACAGCUUAACUGUGAAACUGCAUUGGAUACUAUCCGGCUCGAGGAAUGGAGGGGAGACUGGAAUACUUGGUGUAGCAGUGAAAUGCGUAGAUAUCAAGUGGAACACCAGUGGCGAAGGCGAAUCUCUGGACAGUUACUGACGCUGAGGCACGAAGGCCAGGGGAGCAAACGGG
RNAcentral lists this ribosomal RNA (253 nucleotides) under uncultured bacterium. RNAcentral's name for it is "partial 16S ribosomal RNA". It matches the Rfam family "Bacterial small subunit ribosomal RNA", at positions 524 to 776 of the family's 1533-position model. The record is from RNAcentral.